GAUGAACGCUGGCGGCGUGCUUAACACAUGCAAGUCGAACGGAAAGGUCCUGCUCUUGCUGGGCUCUCGAGUGGCGAACGGGUGAGUAACACGUGAGUAACCUGCCCUUGACUUUGGGAGAACUUCAGGAAACUGCGGCUAAUAUCGGAUAGGAUCUCCUGCUGCGUGUUGUGGGUUGGAAAGAUUCGGCUGUGGGGUAUGUACUCGCUGCUUAUCAGCUUGUUUGGGGGGUAGUUGCUUACCAAGGGUUUGACGGGUAGCCGGCCUGAGAGGGUGACCGGCCACAAUGGGCCUGCGAUACGGAGCAGAAGCCAACGGGCGGCAGCAGUGGAGAGUAUUGCACAAUGGGCGGAAGCCUGAUGCAGCAACGCCGCGUGCGGGAUGACGGCCUUCGGGUUGUAAACCAAUUUGGAAUGUGACGAAGCGGGAGUGACGGUAAUGGGUAAAGAAGCAACGGCUAACUACGUG
RNAcentral lists this ribosomal RNA (468 nucleotides) under uncultured bacterium. Its description in RNAcentral is "partial 16S ribosomal RNA". It matches the Rfam family "Bacterial small subunit ribosomal RNA", at positions 28 to 507 of the family's 1533-position model. The record is from RNAcentral.